GGAGAGAUGGCAGAGUGGUCGAAUGCACCGGUCUUGAAAACCGGCGUACUGUCAUGGUACCGGGGGUUCGAAUCCCUCUCUCUCCG
This 86-nucleotide transfer RNA is filed under the name Candidatus Minthosoma caballi. RNAcentral's name for it is "tRNA-Ser". It matches the Rfam family "tRNA". Rfam says of the family: Transfer RNA (tRNA) molecules are approximately 80 nucleotides in length. Their secondary structure includes four short double-helical elements and three loops (D, anti-codon, and T loops). Lineage: Bacteria; Pseudomonadati; Bacteroidota; Bacteroidia; Bacteroidales; Bacteroidaceae. The record is from RNAcentral.